AUUGAACGCUGGCGGCAGGCCUAACACAUGCAAGUCGAGCGUGAAACUUCCUUCGGGGAGAAGUAAAGCGGCGGACGGGUGAGUAACGCGUAGGAAUCUGCCCAAAAGAGGGGGAUAACUUGGGGAAACCCAAGCUAAUACCGCAUAUACCUAAGGGUGAAAGGUGGGGAUCUUCGGACCUACCGCUUUUGGAGGAGCCUGCGUCGGAUUAGCUAGUUGGUGGGGUAAAGGCCUACCAAGGCGACGAUCCGUAGCUGGUCUGAGAGGAUGGCCAGCCACACUGGGACUGAGACACGGCCCAGACUCCUACGGGAGGCAGCAGUGGGGAAUAUUGGACAAUGGGCGCAAGCCUGAUCCAGCCAUGCCGCGUGUGUGAAGAAGGCUCUAGGGUUGUAAAGCACUUUAAGUUGUGAGGAAGGCAUUAAUGUGAAUAAUGUUGAUGUUUGACGUUAGCAACAGAAUAAGCACCGGCUAACUCCG
This 480-nucleotide ribosomal RNA is filed under the name uncultured Gammaproteobacteria bacterium. Its description in RNAcentral is "bacterial SSU rRNA". It matches the Rfam family "Bacterial small subunit ribosomal RNA", at positions 30 to 505 of the family's 1533-position model. The record is from RNAcentral. Lineage: Bacteria; Pseudomonadati; Pseudomonadota; Gammaproteobacteria.